GGUUAAGUUAGAAAGGGCGCACGGUGGAUGCCUUGGCACUAGGAGCCGAUGAAGGACGGGACGAACACCGAUAUGCUUCGGGGAGCUGUAAGCAAGCUUUGAUCCGGAGAUUUCCGAAUGGGGAAACCCACCACUCGUAAUGGAGUGGUAUCCAUAUCUGAAUACAUAGGAUAUGAGAAGGCAGACCCGGGGAACUGAAACAUCUAAGUACCCGGAGGAAGAGAAAGCAAAUGCGAUUCCCUGAGUAGCGGCGAGCGAAACGGGACCAGCCCAAACCAAGAGGCUUGCCUCUUGGGGUUGUAGGACACUCUGUACGGAGUUACAAAGGAACGAGGUAGAUGAAGAGGUCUGGAAAGGCCCGCCAUAGAAGGUAACAGCCCUGUAGUCAAAACUUCGUUCUCUCCUGAGUGGAUCCUGAGUACGGCGGAACACGUGAAAUUCCGUCGGAAUCCGGGAGGACCAUCUCCCAAGGCUAAAUACUCCCUAGUGACCGAUAGUGAACCAGUACCGUGAGGGAAAGGUGAAAAGCACCCCGGAAGGGGAGUGAAAGAGAUCCUGAAACCGUGUGCCUACAAGUAGUCAGAGCCCGUUAACGGGUGAUGGCGUGCCUUUUGUAGAAUGAACCGGCGAGUUACGAUCCCGUGCAAGGUUAAGCAGAAGAUCCGGAGCCCAAGCGAAAGCGAGUCUGAAUAGGGCGAAUUGAGUACGUGGUCGUAGACCCGAAACCAGGUGAUCUACCCAUGUCCAGGGUGAAGUUCAGGUAACACUGAAUGGAGGCCCGAACCCACGCACGUUGAAAAGUGCGGGGAUGAGGUGUGGGUAGGGGUGAAAUGCCAAUCGAACCUGGAGAUAGCUGGUUCUCUCCGAAAUAGCUUUAGGGCUAGCCUCAAGGUAAGAGUCUCGGAGGUAGAGCACUGAUUGGACUAGGGGCCCCUACCGGGUUACCGAAUUCAGUCAAACUCCGAAUGCCGAUGACUUAUCCUUGGGAGUCAGACUGCGAGUGAUAAGAUCCGUAGUCGAAAGGGAAACAGCCCAGACCGCCAGCUAAGGUCCCAAAGUAUACGUUAAGUGGAAAAGGAUGUGGAGUUGCUUAGACAACCAGGAUGUUGGCUUAGAAGCAGCCACCAUUUAAAGAGUGCGUAAUAGCUCACUGGUCGAGUGACUCUGCGCCGAAAAUGUACCGGGGCUAAACGUAUCACCGAAGCUGCGGACUGUUCUUCGAACAGUGGUAGGAGAGCGUUCUAAGGGCUGUGAAGCAAGACCGGAAGGACUUGUGGAGCGCUUAGAAGUGAGAAUGCCGGUAUGAGUAGCGAAAGAGGGGUGAGAAUCCCCUCCACCGAAUGCCUAAGGUUUCCUGAGGAAGGCUCGUCCGCUCAGGGUUAGUCGGGACCUAAGCCGAGGCCGAAAGGCGUAGGCGAUGGAUAACAGGUUGAUAUUCCUGUACCACCUCCUCACCAUUUGAGCAAUGGGGGGACGCAGGAGGAUAGGGUAAGCGCGGUAUUGGAUAUCCGCGUCCAAGCAGUUAGGCUGGGAAAUAGGCAAAUCCGUUUCCCGUGAAGGCUGAGCUGUGAUGGCGAGCGAAUUAUAGUAGCGAAGUUCCUGAUUCCACACUGCCAAGAAAAGCCUCUAGCGAGGUGAGAGGUGCCCGUACCGCAAACCGACACAGGUAGGCGAGGAGAGAAUCCUAAGGUGAUCGAGAGAACUCUCGUUAAGGAACUCGGCAAAAUGACCCCGUAACUUCGGGAGAAGGGGUGCUCUGUUAGGUGCAAGCCCGAGAGAGCCGCAGUGAAUAGGCCCAGGCGACUGUUUAGCAAAAACACAGGUCUCUGCGAAGCCGUAAGGCGAAGUAUAGGGGCUGACGCCUGCCCGGUGCUGGAAGGUUAAGAGGAGCGCUUAGCGUAAGCGAAGGUGCGAAUUGAAGCCCCAGUAAACGGCGGCCGUAACUAUAACGGUCCUAAGGUAGCGAAAUUCCUUGUCGGGUAAGUUCCGACCCGCACGAAAGGCGCAACGAUCUGGGCACUGUCUCAACGAGAGACUCGGUGAAAUUAUAGUACCUGUGAAGAUGCAGGUUACCCGCGACAGGACGGAAAGACCCCGUGGAGCUUUACUGCAGCCUGAUAUUGAAUGUUGGUACAGCUUGUACAGGAUAGGUAGGAGCCUUGGAAACCGGAGCGCCAGCUUCGGUGGAGGCAUCGGUGGGAUACUACCCUGGCUGUAUUGACCUUCUAACCCGCCGCCCUUAUCGGGCGGGGAGACAGUGUCAGGUGGGCAGUUUGACUGGGGCGGUCGCCUCCUAAAAGGUAACGGAGGCGCCCAAAGGUUCCCUCAGAAUGGUUGGAAAUCAUUCGCAGAGUGUAAAGGCACAAGGGAGCUUGACUGCGAGACCUACAAGUCGAGCAGGGACGAAAGUCGGGCUUAGUGAUCCGGUGGUUCCGCAUGGAAGGGCCAUCGCUCAACGGAUAAAAGCUACCCCGGGGAUAACAGGCUUAUCUCCCCCAAGAGUCCACAUCGACGGGGAGGUUUGGCACCUCGAUGUCGGCUCAUCGCAUCCUGGGGCUGUAGUCGGUCCCAAGGGUUGGGCUGUUCGCCCAUUAAAGCGGUACGCGAGCUGGGUUCAGAACGUCGUGAGACAGUUCGGUCCCUAUCCGUCGCGGGCGCAGGAAAUUUGAGAGGAGCUGUCCUUAGUACGAGAGGACCGGGAUGGACGCACCGCUGGUGUACCAGUUGUUCUGCCAAGGGCAUCGCUGGGUAGCUAUGUGCGGACGGGAUAAGUGCUGAAAGCAUCUAAGCAUGAAGCCCCCCUCAAGAUGAGAUUUCCCAUUCCGCAAGGAAGUAAGAUCCCUGAAAGAUGAUCAGGUUGAUAGGUCUGAGGUGGAAGUGUGGCGACACAUGGAGCUGACAGAUACUAAUCGAUCGAGGACUUAACCAA
Molecule: ribosomal RNA, 2929 nt
Filed under: Bacillus velezensis
Lineage: Bacteria; Bacillati; Bacillota; Bacilli; Caryophanales; Bacillaceae
Description: 23S ribosomal RNA
Rfam family: Bacterial large subunit ribosomal RNA
Source: RNAcentral